This 119-nucleotide ribosomal RNA is filed under the name Pteropus vampyrus (large flying fox). The record is from RNAcentral. Lineage: Eukaryota; Metazoa; Chordata; Mammalia; Chiroptera; Pteropodidae.
GUCUACAGCCACGCCACCCUGAACAAGCCCGAUCCCGUCUGAUCUCGGAAGUUAAGCAGGGUCGGGCCUGCUUAGUACUUGUGUGGGAGACCACCUGGGAAGACCAGGUGUUCUACGGG